Long non-coding RNA from Zea mays, 536 nucleotides. RefSeq lists it as uncharacterized. Lineage: Eukaryota; Viridiplantae; Streptophyta; Magnoliopsida; Poales; Poaceae. The record is from RefSeq and is a predicted model, not a curated record. The transcript has 2 exons.
CCGACCCUCCUCUCGGGCGGCCAUAAAGUGCGGCACCCAAACCCUAACCACCCCUCCUCCUGUUGACGUGACCCAAUUCCUCACCAGACGCCACCGGUGUGAGCAGGACCGGGUUGUGCCGCCACCGCUGUAGACUCGCUCCUUCGCCGUCGUUUCGGGAUCGACAAGGAGACUUGGCGACGCGCCGGGUUACGUGGAGCGUGACUGUGGCGGAUUAUGGCCGGGAAAGCCAGGGAGGUUGGCUGAAUUUCUCGCCGGAGUGGGGCUCGGACCCGAAUCUGUGGUUCCUCGUCGCUUGGACUCGUCACCGCCCCAAAUCCCGGAGAAGAACAAGUGGUCCAGGAGGAGCCUUACAACGAAGAGUACGAGCUUAUCUAGGUGGCGUCUCCCAAUCAGCUUGAUGGCGCCAAAGAAUAAUAUUUAGUUCGCUUUAUUGCUAUCAUUUAUUUUUGUAAGACUUCCGCUAUGUAAUAAUGAUACUUGUGACAUUUAUCUCUAUACACUUUGUCAUUAUAUGUGUUGUUCUUCUUUGGUAC